GACGAACGCUGGCGGCGUGCUUAACACAUGCAAGUCGAACGGAAAGGCCCUGCUUUUGUGGGGUGCUCGAGUGGCGAACGGGUGAGUAACACGUGAGUAACCUGCCCUUGACUUUGGGAUAACUUCAGGAAACUGGGGCUAAUACCGGAUAGGAGCUCCUGCUGCAUGGUGGGGGUUGGAAAGUUUCGGCGGUUGGGGAUGGACUCGCGGCUUAUCAGCUUGUUGGUGGGGUAGUGGCUUACCAAGGCUUUGACGGGUAGCCGGCCUGAGAGGGUGACCGGCCACAUUGGGACUGAGAUACGGCCCAGACUCCUACGGGAGGCAGCAGUGGGGAAUAUUGCACAAUGGGCGGAAGCCUGAUGCAGCAACGCCGCGUGCGGGAUGACGGCCUUCGGGUUGUAAACCGCUUUCGCCUGUGACGAAGCGUGAGUGACGGUAAUGGGUAAAGAAGCACCGGCUAACUACGUGCCAGCAGCCGCGGUGAUACGUAGGGUGCGAGCGUUGUCCGGAUUUAUUGGGCGUAAAGGGCUCGUAGGUGGUUGAUCGCGUCGGAAGUGUAAUCUUGGGGCUUAACCCUGAGCGUGCUUUCGAUACGGGUUGACUUGAGGAAGGUAGGGGAGAAUGGAAUUCCUGGUGGAGCGGUGGAUGCGCAGAUAUCAGGAGGAACACCAGUGGCGAAGGCGGUUCUCUGGGCCUUUCCUGACGCUGAGGAGCGAAAGCGUGGGGAGCGAACAGGCUUAGAUACCCUGGUAGUCCACGCUGUAAACGGUGGGUACUAGGUGUGGGGUCCAUUCCACGGGUUCCGUGCCGUAGCUAACGCUUUAAGUACCCCGCCUGGGGAGUACGGCCGCAAGGCUAAAACUCAAAGGAAUUGACGGGGCCCCGCACAAGCGGCGGAGCAUGCGGAUUAAUUCGAUGCAACGCGUAGAACCUUACCUGGGUUUGACAUGGAUCGGGAGCGCUCAGAGAUGGGUGUGCCUCUUUUGGGGUCGGUUCACAGGUGGUGCAUGGCUGUCGUCAGCUCGUGUCGUGAGAUGUUGGGUUAAGUCCCGCAACGAGCGCAACCCUUGUUCACUGUUGCCAGCACGUUAUGGUGGGGACUCAGUGGAGACCGCCGGGGUCAACUCGGAGGAAGGUGGGGAUGACGUCAAGUCAUCAUGCCCCUUAUGUCCAGGGCUUCACGCAUGCUACAAUGGCUGGUACAGAGAGUGGCGAGCCUGUGAGGGUGAGCGAAUCUCGGAAAGCCGGUCUCAGUUCGGAUUGGGGUCUGCAACUCGACCUCAUGAAGUCGGAGUCGCUAGUAAUCGCAGAUCAGCAACGCUGCGGUGAAUACGUUCCCGGGGCUUGUACACACCGCCCGUCAAGUCAUGAAAGUUGGUAACACCCGAAGCCGGUGGCCUAACCGUUGUGGGGGAGCCGUCGAAGGUGGGACUGGUGAUUAGGACU
Molecule: ribosomal RNA, 1446 nt
Filed under: uncultured bacterium
Lineage: Bacteria
Description: bacterial SSU rRNA
Rfam family: Bacterial small subunit ribosomal RNA
Source: RNAcentral